GAUGAACGCUGGCGGCGUGCCUAGUACAUGCAAGUCGAGCGAACGGACGAGAAGCUUGCUUCUCUGAUGUUAGCGGCGGACGGGUGAGUAACACGUGGAUAACCUACCUAUAAGACUGGGAUAACUUCGGGAAACCGGAGCUAAUACCGGAUGAUAUUUUGAUCCGCAUGGUUCAAAAGUGAAAGACGGUCUUGCUGUCACUUAUAGAUGGAUCCGCGCUGCAUUAGCUAGUUGGUAAGGUAACGGCUUACCAAGGCAACGAUGCAUAGCCGACCUGAGAGGGUGAUCGGCCACACUGGAACUGAGACACGGUCCAGACUCCUACGGGAGGCAGCAGUAGGGAAUCUUCCGCAAUGGGCGAAAGCCUGACGGAGCAACGCCGCGUGAGUGAUGAAGGUCUUCGGAUCGUAAAACUCUGUUAUUAGGGAAGAACAUAUGUGUAAGUAACUGUGCACAUCUUGACGGUACCUAAUCAGAAAGCCACGGCUAACUACGUG
This 497-nucleotide ribosomal RNA is filed under the name uncultured bacterium. RNAcentral describes it as "partial 16S ribosomal RNA". It matches the Rfam family "Bacterial small subunit ribosomal RNA", at positions 28 to 507 of the family's 1533-position model. The record is from RNAcentral.